Molecule: ribosomal RNA, 614 nt
Filed under: Clostridium sp. AF22-10
Lineage: Bacteria; Bacillati; Bacillota; Clostridia; Eubacteriales; Clostridiaceae
Description: partial 23S ribosomal RNA
Rfam family: Bacterial large subunit ribosomal RNA
Source: RNAcentral
UGAUACUGGGAUUCGGUACUGCAUGUACAGGAUAGGUGGGAGACUUUGAUGACAGGACGCCAGUCUUGUCGGAGUCGCUGUUGGGAUACCACCCUUGUGGUACUGGAUUUCUAACCAACCUCCGUGACCCGGAGGUGGGACAAUGUCAGGUGGGGAGUUUGACUGGGGCGGUCGCUCCGAAAGGGUAUCGGAGGCGCUCAAAGGUUCCCUCAGAAUGGUUGGAAACCAUUCAAAGAGUGCAAAGGCAGAAGGGAGCUUGACUGCGAGACCGACGGGUCGAGCAGGUACGAAAGUAGGACUUAGUGAUCCGGUGGUAGAAAGUGGGAUUGCCAUCGCUCAACGGAUAAAAGCUACCCUGGGGAUAACAGGCUUAUCACUCCCAAGAGUUCACAUCGACGGAGUGGUUUGGCACCUCGAUGUCGGCUCAUCGCAUCCUGGGGCUGAAGUAGGUCCCAAGGGUUGGGCUGUUCGCCCAUUAAAGCGGUACGCGAGCUGGGUUCAGAACGUCGUGAGACAGUUCGGUCCCUAUCCGGCGCGGGCGUAGGAUAUUUGAGAGGAGCUGCCCUUAGUACGAGAGGACCGGGGUGGACUGGCCUCUGGUGUAUCUGUUGAGC